AUCAAGCGACGCCGCGUGUGUGAAGAAGGCCUGCGGGUUGUAAAGCACUUUUAGUGGGGAUGAAAAGCCCAGGGCUAAUACCCCUGGGUCUUGACCUAACCCACAGAAAAAAGCACCGGCUAAACUCUGUGCCAGCAGCCGCGGUAAUACAGAGGGUGCAAAGCGUUAAUCGGAAUUACUGGGCGUAAAAGCGUGCGUAGACGGUCAUGUAAGUCGGGUGUGAAAGCCCCGGGCUCAACCUGGGAAUUGCAUUCGAGACUGCAUGGCUAGGGUGCGGAAGAGGGAAGCGGAAUUUCCGGUGUAGCGGUGAAAUGCGUAGAUAUCGGAAGGAACACCAGUGGCGAAAGCGGCUUCCUGGUCCAGCACCGACGUUCAGGCACGAAAGCGUGGGGAGCAAACAGGAUUAGAUACCCUGGUAGUCCACGCCAUAAACGAUGAGAACUAGACGUUGAAGGGGUAAGCCCUGCAGUGUCGUAGCUAACGCGCUAAGU
Molecule: ribosomal RNA, 491 nt
Filed under: uncultured Gammaproteobacteria bacterium
Lineage: Bacteria; Pseudomonadati; Pseudomonadota; Gammaproteobacteria
Description: bacterial SSU rRNA
Rfam family: Bacterial small subunit ribosomal RNA
Source: RNAcentral